Molecule: unclassified non-coding RNA, 374 nt
Filed under: soil metagenome
Description: partial contains internal transcribed spacer 2 and large subunit ribosomal RNA
Rfam family: 5.8S ribosomal RNA (bases 1-120)
Source: RNAcentral
GAUGAAGAACGUAGUGAAAUGCGAUAAUUAAUGUGAAUUGCAGAAUUCCGUGAAUCAUCGAGUCUUUGAACGCACAUUGCGCCUCAUGGCAUUCCGUGAGGCAUGCCCAUCUCAGCGUUAGAAAAUAUUCUCAAAUUUUAGUUUUGUGCUAAAAUUUGGAUCAUGUCAAGGAAGCUAUUACUAUUAUUGUGAUCGCUCUUUGGAAAUUGAUAGGUCUUUGAGUUGCUACUCAUAGAACGUGAUGAAUCUUUCUUCGUUCUAUUGUAAUUCACUCUGGUAGUCCUAAAAGUUGUAUGCCUGUGGCAUAUCUUGUAAUUUGACCUGAGAUUGGGUAGGGAUACCCGCUGAACUUAAGCAUAUCAAUAAGCGGAGGA